UGAGACUCACUGGUGUCAGGAUAACC
Molecule: non-coding RNA, 26 nt
Filed under: Rattus norvegicus (Norway rat)
Lineage: Eukaryota; Metazoa; Chordata; Mammalia; Rodentia; Muridae
Source: RNAcentral